ACGGAAGCAGAAAUAGUUUCAAAAUGUCCGUUUAGUUUUUUGGACAUGGUGCAGUGUUUCGUUCCGGAGUGUCUGAGCGAGAUGUCUGCAGGUUUCUUCGGUUUCCUAAGGAUCCAAAAAUAAAGAAGCGAUGGAUUAAACUAAUUUGGCGUGCAGACAGGGAACCAAGCAUCCACUCACGGGUUUGCACCUGUCACUUUCGUGAUGG
This is a long non-coding RNA of Thalassophryne amazonica, 208 nucleotides long. RefSeq lists it as uncharacterized. The transcript has 2 exons. Lineage: Eukaryota; Metazoa; Chordata; Actinopteri; Batrachoidiformes; Batrachoididae. The record is from RefSeq and is a predicted model, not a curated record.